This 253-nucleotide ribosomal RNA is filed under the name uncultured bacterium. Its description in RNAcentral is "partial 16S ribosomal RNA". It matches the Rfam family "Bacterial small subunit ribosomal RNA", at positions 524 to 776 of the family's 1533-position model. The record is from RNAcentral.
UACGUAGGGGGCAAGCGUUGUCCGGAAUCAUUGGGCGUAAAGCGCGUGUAGGCGGCUCGAUAAGUCUGCUGUGAAAGUCCAGGGCUCAACCCUGGGAUGCCGGUGGAUACUGUCGAGCUCGAGUCCGGAAGAGGCGAGUGGAAUUCCUGGUGUAGCGGUGAAAUGCGCAGAUAUCGGGAGGAACUCCGGCGGCGAAAGCGGUGCACUGGUGGAUUUCUGACGCUGAGGUGCGAAAGCCAGGGGAGCAAACGGG